GACGAACGCUGGCGGCGUGCUUAACACAUGCAAGUCGAACGGAAAGGCCCUGCUUUUGUGGGGUGCUCGAGUGGCGAACGGGUGAGUAACACGUGAGUAACCUGCCCUUGACUUUGGGAUAACUUCAGGAAACUGGGGCUAAUACCGGAUAGGAGCUCCUGCUGCAUGGUGGGGGUUGGAAAGUUUCGGCGGUUGGGGAUGGACUCGCGGCUUAUCAGCUUGUUGGUGGGGUAGUGGCUUACCAAGGCUUUGACGGGUAGCCGGCCUGGGAGGGUGACCGGCCACAUUGGGACUGGGAUACGGCCCAGACUCCUACGGGAGGCAGCAGUGGGGAAUAUUGCACGAUGGGCGGAAGCCUGAUGCAGCAACGCCGCGUGCGGGAUGACGGCCUUCGGGUUGUAAACCGCUUUCGCCUGUGACGAAGCGUGAGUGACGGUAAUGGGGAAAGAAGCACCGGCUAACUACGU
RNAcentral lists this ribosomal RNA (467 nucleotides) under uncultured bacterium. RNAcentral's name for it is "partial 16S ribosomal RNA". It matches the Rfam family "Bacterial small subunit ribosomal RNA", at positions 28 to 506 of the family's 1533-position model. The record is from RNAcentral.